This 422-nucleotide ribosomal RNA is filed under the name uncultured bacterium. RNAcentral's name for it is "bacterial SSU rRNA". It matches the Rfam family "Bacterial small subunit ribosomal RNA", at positions 355 to 774 of the family's 1533-position model. The record is from RNAcentral.
UAAGGAAUAUUGGUCAAUGGACGCAAGUCUGAACCAGCCAUGCCGCGUGGAGGAUUAAGGCCCUCUGGGUUGUAAACUCCUUUUAUCUGGGAAGAAAUGUACUUUUUCUUGAGUACUUGACGGUACCAGAGGAAUAAGCACCGGCUAACUCCGUGCCAGCAGCCGCGGUAAUACGGAGGGUGCAAGCGUUAUCCGGAUUCACUGGGUUUAAAGGGUGCGUAUGUGGGCAGGUAAGUCAGUGGUGAAAUCUCCGGGCUUAACCCGGAAACUGCCGUUGAUACUAUUUGUCUUGAAUAUUGUGGAGGUAAGCGGAAUAUGUCAUGUAGCGGUGAAAUGCUUAGAUAUGACAUAGAACACCAAUUGCGAAGGCAGCUUACUACACAAUCAUUGACGCUGAGGCACGAAAGCGUGGGGAUCAAACA